CCUACGGGGGGCAGCAGUGAGGAAUAUUGGUCAAUGGACGAGAGUCUGAACCAGCCAAGUAGCGUGAAGGAUGACUGCCCUAUGGGUUGUAAACUUCUUUUAUAUGGGAAUAAAAUGUUCCACGUGUGGGAUUUUGUAUGUACCAUAUGAAUAAGGAUCGGCUAACUCCGUGCCAGCAGCCGCGGUAAUACGGAGGAUCCGAUCGUUAUCCGGGUUUAUUGGGUUUAAAGGGUGCGUAGGUGGAUUGUUAAGUCAGUUGUGAAAGUUUGCGGCUCAACCGUAAAAUUGCAGUUGAAACUGGCAGUCUUGAGUACAGUAGAGGUGGGCGGAAUUCGUGGUGUAGCGGUGAAAUGCUUAGAUAUCACGAAGAACUCCGAUUGCGAAGGCAGUUCACUGGACUGCAACUGACACUGAGGCUCGAAAGUGUGGGUAUCAAACAGGAUUAGAUACCCGGGUAGUC
RNAcentral lists this ribosomal RNA (460 nucleotides) under uncultured bacterium. RNAcentral describes it as "partial 16S ribosomal RNA". It matches the Rfam family "Bacterial small subunit ribosomal RNA", at positions 338 to 795 of the family's 1533-position model. The record is from RNAcentral.